This is a long non-coding RNA of Equus asinus (donkey), 1588 nucleotides long. The record is from Ensembl. NCBI's taxonomy places the organism in Eukaryota, Metazoa, Chordata, Mammalia, Perissodactyla, Equidae.
AAACUGUCCAGAACUGGCAGUGAGGAACCAGGGGAAUGCCAGCCUUCCUCAUGACCCCAUAGUAUACGGAGAGGUGGCUGAAUUGAAGAGUAUGCAUCUGAUCCAACUGUGAGAAUAGCUCUUGCUGGCCAAAUGGGACAGAGGUAAGAAAAGCAGCCGAGAAGGGGUUUGUGAGCACGUGACUGAGGCCCGCACUGAGAACCAGGGAGGUGCAUUCACAGAGCUGCCAUUCUCAGACUAUGAUCAGAGCGCUGGGAAGAGAAAGCAAGACUGAGAGUUGAAAUGACUUUGUGAAGUUGAGAAGCGUUCGCAAAGUUUGGCCCUGACUCUGGCUGCUGACAUCAUCCUGUCGCAGAAGCCACUUUGUCCACCUGCUGGUCAGCCAUGGUGAAGGCAUGCUGGAGCCUCACCUCUAGGUGGAUUUGCUGGGUGGUGGGUAAAGUAGGGAGGAUGAAUUUGUGACUUCCUCCUGCCCACUGAACACCUUGCUGAACACCCCGCACACUCUCCAGGUCACCGAGAUGAGACCUCAGGGAAAAAUCAGCCAAGUCCAUAGAGUCUCAAGGACUCCCGGGGAAGACAAGCAACUGCAACCCAAGGGUGGUUCAAUGGAGCUUGUUUCUGCUGAAAAUCGGUCCUUGUUUAUUGUUGUGUCAUUAUUGAUGAAGACUUGUAGGAAAAGAUCCUGAAAUAUUUAUACCUUAAUAUACUAAAACUAAAAAAAUAAUAUUGAUUCUUAGGAACGAGCUAGAGAAGAGGACGAGUUUAGAGUGAUGAAUCAGUAUUUGGGGUCUGCCAAAAAUGCCAAAUAUUAACUCUCCCUGAACCAGGGUGUGGCGGAGACUGGUGCAUUAGGAACGACGGUAGGAAUGGGGUGCUAGUCCUUGUUUUCCCAGCUUCUUGUAAAUAAAGAAUUCUUACACAGCCAGAGAAAUCCCCAUGGAAUUUGGCAAAGAAUUAAAGAGAUCUGUUUCACACCUUUAGCUUUCUCUGAGUAGAAAAGUUUACAGAAAAUUCCUUCUUUGUUAAUCAUUUAAGCAACAUCUCCACCAGUUUAGAAUAGCUUGAAAAAGAAGAAUUCAUAGUUCUGUUGUCAUGAGGCCAGAUGGCCAGGGGUUCGAUUCUGACGGUGCGCCUUCUGACUGUCGCUGAGUGACCUUGAAAAAUGUUAUUAAACCUCUUUGGGCUUCAAUCUCCUCAUCUAUAACAUGGAGAUGUUAAUCAUACCUACUUAAUUGGGUUGUUUAAGGGUCAUGUUAGAUAAAGCAUAUAAAGCACUUAGAACAGUGCUUGGCAUUAGGAGGUGCUUAGUUAAUUAUAGCCACUAUUUUUAUUACUUUCGAAAUAAUUAAAUAAAAAAUUUUAGUUCCUUUUAAUCUUAAUCCAAAUUUCACAUAUUUUACUGGGUAUAAUCUCAAUACACAUAUACUUUUAAAUAUGUAUUUUUUCAUUGAUCUGCAUAAAUAUUUUUUCCUGUGCCUACAUAGGCUUCCUGAGAAUUUCUUCUAAUCGCUCCAUGACGUUCUUGUACUGUCAUGCACUGUGGUACUCUAAGAACGCCACGACUUUCAUACUAUUAUAACCAGCC